This 338-nucleotide long non-coding RNA is filed under the name Elaeis guineensis (African oil palm). RNAcentral's name for it is "long non-coding RNA (EGUI_LNC046691)". Lineage: Eukaryota; Viridiplantae; Streptophyta; Magnoliopsida; Arecales; Arecaceae. The record is from RNAcentral.
GCAAUUUGGAUUUCAAGUGGAUACUGCGAUCCCAUCGAUUAGCAUACCACCUUAUCUAAUAGUUAUCGAUGAUAUGUCAACCAAUGAGUGGAUAAGUCUUAUCUAAUACUUCUCAAGCAAAUUGUAGUAGUCUCUGAUCUCUAAUCUUGAAACCUCACGUGAUAGUUAUUGGUCUCAUUUCUUAGUGAAGUCAGACCCACUAUUUUUGUGAAAAUGAAGCCAUCAUUGAAACUCUUAUCUAACAGUUAUUAAGCCUAACCCCAUCUCCACCAUACAGCAUCCCAUGCCAAUAGAGUGGUUGCAUCUUCCUUGAUGUAACUAAACGAUUAUAUCCAGCG